UUUAAUUGAAGCCAAAAAGAGGCAUAUUACUGUUAAUAAUAUAACUGAACAACUUAGUUCCAAUUAAG
RNAcentral lists this transfer RNA (68 nucleotides) under Oxya chinensis. RNAcentral describes it as "tRNA-Asn". The record is from RNAcentral. Lineage: Eukaryota; Metazoa; Arthropoda; Insecta; Orthoptera; Acrididae.